Long non-coding RNA from Hippocampus comes (tiger tail seahorse), 508 nucleotides. RefSeq lists it as uncharacterized. The transcript has 2 exons. The record is from RefSeq and is a predicted model, not a curated record. Lineage: Eukaryota; Metazoa; Chordata; Actinopteri; Syngnathiformes; Syngnathidae.
GAGAGAGAGAGAGAGAGAGAGAGAGAGAGAGAGAGAGAGUAAAAGAGGGGAGGAGCACAGCAGCUGAGCUGAUCUUAAAGUCGUAGCGGCAGCUUACGUGUUUGCAGAAAAGCGGGGAAAAAAGGCCACAAGGAGAACAAGAAUGCCGGACAAUCCAUCGGCACACAUCCUCACCAAAUGCGUCGAGGGCAACGCACACUCGUAAAUGACUUUAUUGCUCAAAUCGAAGUCGACCACGGGUCAGAUUGCAUGACGCGAUGCCCAAAAGUUGGCUGUCGGUGGACAGACCAAAAGCCAACGAGAUUGAACCAACAACCAAUCCAAAAAGCGCACAUCCCACCGGCAGGACCCGACCCCGGAUAAGAGCUCAAGAAUGGAUGGAUGGAUGGUAAGAAGACGGAGUCUGCUGGUUCUUACUCUGAUUCACUGGAGAGAUAUGAUGCAUUUUUGUGGCCGAAUGGCACCUUGAGAUCCGAAUGACUCAGUCGACAAGGUUUUUUUUUUGUUU